GAGCUUCAUGUAGUCCUCGAACACGAACUUCGGAUACGUCUCACUCUCCUUUUCUGUUUCCUUCACUAGCGCGGAGGCCGGAUAGAUGACAGCAUCGCCCCCUGGGUUGUAAAAGGAAGCAAUCGACAUCCUGGUACCGUCCGGCUGAGACACCACUCGGUGCAGCACGCUCUUGUACUUGCCAUUUGUAAUGACCUCAAGCUGAUCACCGAGGUUGAUGACGAUGGAGUGAUGCAUAGGAGGGACGUCCACCCACUCACCGUCCUUGAGCAGCUGGAGGCCGCUCACCUUGUCGUCCUGAAACAGAAGGAUGAGGCCGCCAGCAUCGGUGUGUGCACGAAGGCCCUUGAUCAGAUCCGGCUUCGGUGAGGGCGGAUAGUUGCUAACCUUGGUACCGAAGGUCAGCCCCUUCGUCCCACUAAAGGCCUUCUUCAAAUACCCUUUCUCCAACCCCAGGUUCUCACACAGCAGGUCGAGAAGCUGGUCCGCUAGCUCUCCCAGCCUCUUGACGAACUCCCUCAUCGUCUCCCGGUACUCAUCGGUGAGAUCGGGGACCUCCUCCAUGUUGGAGGUGGGGAGGUGACGGAGAUAGAAGGUGCUCUCCCAGUCGAGGUUGUCGGGGUCAACCUUCGCAGGGUCUUCUAGGGUUUUGGAGGCGAAUUCCCUGAACCUCUGCUCCAUGCACUUCUUGUAGUGAUCUUUGGUUAACUUCUCCACCUUGUCCAACAGCUCGUGUGGGAUUCCAUGGUUGAGGAGCUCAAAGAAUCCCCAGUUCUCGCAGGCAUCAUGCAGAAGCUCCAUGACCUUGCUCCUCCCCUCUCCCUCGAGGUUCUCCAUGUUGAUGACCGGGAAAGAUGCCAUCUAGCUUUAUCUUUGGAGUUGUG
Molecule: unclassified non-coding RNA, 884 nt
Filed under: Hevea brasiliensis (rubber tree)
Lineage: Eukaryota; Viridiplantae; Streptophyta; Magnoliopsida; Malpighiales; Euphorbiaceae
Source: RNAcentral